UGUGAAGUUGCAUGAAGUUUAUAAAUGUUGACUCUUCAGGGAAGCCAUUUCAGCUUUGCCUCGGGUAAUUUGUCUUUCUUUUUUUCCCUCUCAGUAGAGAUGCUGGUGUCCCACAUCCUGUUGGUCUCGUCUCUCCGGGACUGUGGCCCUCCAGGAGAAAUUCCCUUCUGAAGGAGAAGCAACAGCCUAGAGGACCUCUUAGAAAGGACCGCAUCAUCAGCUAAGGAGGAAAAGUAACAAAGAACUUGAAGACUUUCAUGGCUCCCAGGCCCUGGAUGGAGGCAGACGGCAUCAGGCAGCUUCAGACAGAGAAUGGUGGAAGCUGAGGGGCAGCUAGGAUGCGCCUGGGGCUGCAAAGCCCAGGAUAUGAAUCAGAGAGAAAAAACUGAAGUCUUGUCCCAAAAAAAGGACAGGGAGGACAGCAAAGGAUUUUUCACUGACUUGUCUUUGGAAAAGACUCAGAAGAGCCCGUUAACUUGGCUUCCUCACUUUGCUCAUCAUACGCGGGUGAAUGGUUUGAAGAUGCUGGCCUAGCAAGAUGGCAACAGGUUUAAAACACUGGAUUCAUAAGAAGUUCCUUUUGUUCAGGUAACUACAUUUUUCUAAAAUUUCUCCCAAACUUUCCAUUUUCUCAAGUUAUUACAAGUUUUUAGAGUAUGCUUGAAUGAUUUAAUUAUGAAGAUUAACUGCAUUUUAAGCUUUGUUUUUCUGACAAUAGCAACCAGCUUUAUAAUAUUCAAUGAAAAGAACGUUCAAUUCUUUGGAGUUCAGAAAAAUAUUUUGCAAGUUAUUAUUUAAUAGUGCUUAUUUCUUUUGACAACAAUUUAGGCAAAACUCAUUUGAAACCAUCAGGUGUCAUUCUGAAACUGUGGCUAUCUCCAGUACUUGUACUUAGAAGUAUUGGAAGAUUGCUUCCAAAAAGCCUAGUGUAUGCUCUGAAUUCCUGGAAGAUACGGCUUCUAAAAAUUGCGUAAUAAUUGAUGCCUUGUAACAUAAUAAUUGCAUAAUGGUUGACGUUUUAACUUUAGUCCUAGAAGAGUGAUCUUAUAUGUCUGGAAUUUUAUAAAACUGUGCUUACGCAGGUCCAGUGACAAAGAUUUGAGCCCAGCUAUCAUGAUAUAAGGAGAUCGUUUUCGAUGCUGUUGGAGGACUUUGUGCCACUUAAAUAUGUUUAAUAACACAAAUGAUAUAUUUACUUGAUGAAUUACCUUACCCUGCCUUUACCAUUGUUUUUAACUAUUAGCCUGCAUUUCCCAACUUAAUUGUUACUAUCUCUGAGAGCCCCGCAGAUUCUUGCUUAAGAAAGCAGGCCAAACUUUGCUCUGAAAAGAGCCCUUAUUUUUCUGCUCAACACAAAGAAGUUCUUGAAGGAGGUAUUCAAUUAAUAUUGGGAGGAAAACGUCUCUUCCCAAAUAAACCAUUCUUCUACUUGAUCGGUAUUUGACUU
This 1447-nucleotide long non-coding RNA is filed under the name Bos indicus x Bos taurus (hybrid cattle). RNAcentral describes it as "lncRNA (ENSBIXG00005011241.1)". Lineage: Eukaryota; Metazoa; Chordata; Mammalia; Artiodactyla; Bovidae. The record is from RNAcentral.